UUUCUUUUCUUUCUCUAUCUCGCUACUCUCGCUAUAUAUAUAUAUAUAUUAUUUACACUCCAACAAUAACAAAACUCUGGCUCGUUUUAAGUGUUUUAACUCCCGAUCACCGCUACCCUUUCCGAUUGAUCUGGAGCCCCAUAACGCAUGUCAAGGCUCUGCCCGACUAAGUUCCUUGGGGUUCGGUCUCAUGACAUAGGGAUAAGGUUGAAUUAGGGGUACUAUACUUAACACGAGUGCAUUAUAUAUUUUUAAAAUAGCUCAGAAGUUAUACCCAAGAUUCUACCAGGAGGCUUUCUAGUUGAACCCUAAAGUUACAAAGGCAUGUGGUGGAAGGAUGACACAGAGCCGCAUAAGAUGGGUGCGACAUGGUGGUGAUAGCAAAGAUUGCGGUUGUAUUUAUAGGCAAUGUAAUGGUUUGAAAUGAACAUAUAUGCUUUUCAGAUUAUUAUUCGAAUACAUGAAUAAUUAAUGUAUAUUUUUUACUUCGUAAACUUAUUAAAAUAAUUAAAUUAUAAAAAAGUUAGAAAUAUAAAGGUCGGAGAGUAGAUUGGUUAUUUUAUCUCUAAAAUGCAGGACAAUCUAUAACAUACACCAAACCAUAUAAAGGUCCAUGGUAGUAAACACCAAGCAAAAAAACAAUUUGUGUCAUAAAAAAAUACAUAAGAUUGGGCUAUGUUAACCUAGGUAUCGAUGUGGUUCCUAAGAAAAGAGGCGAGUGACUAACAACAAUGAUCAAGUGUCGCGUGGUUCUUGACCAUUCACGUAUGUUUUAGUCUUUUAAGUGGAGUUGAGCACAUAAUGAUGUGGACGACAAAGUUGUGCAAAAAUGGUAUUCCCCAAGUCCGAAUAUCCUUUAAUUGCUAAAAAAAUUGUGGCAUUUCCAACUGCCCAACAUAUAAAAUAAAGACACUAUAUGGUCAAAUAUAUUUGAAAUCACUACAAUGGAUUUAUAUAGUAUACUUGAGUUAUGGAUAGAAUUUAGAAAACUGACAUCAAAACGAUGUAGUUCAACCCUCAAAAUGACUUGUUUAUACCAAAUCAUAAAUGCCUCAGCAAGUUGCUAAGGGAACAAUACAACCAAACAAAAAGCACAGUCCCAACCAAAGGAAAACAAAAGGAACAUAAAGUGGCAGUACCACAUCAGACAAGCCAAGUUUGGUCCAGAUCUUCCAACAGGUAAGCAGGUAAGCAGGAGUAUCGCGUAAACCAUCCGCUUUUUCCAUUCCACGUCCAACGACAAGCAAUAAGAUAACAUAUGCAAUACCGAGGUAAACGUCUAUGGGACCUGCACUUUAACACAAACACAGAUGAACCACCAAACCGAGGGAUGUUAAACGGGUCGUGUUUGCGGGUUAACGGGUUAAACCCGACCCGAAUUGAAAUAAAAAAUUAUAGAUAAAUGAGUACAUGAAAAUCACAAAUAUUAAAGUAAAUUACAUUAUUUAACAUUGUUGACGUAAACUUUGAAAUAAAAAAAAACGAUCCAUCACUCGCGUAAAUAUUAAAUUACAUUGAACUGAAAAAAAGAAUACGAAAAAAUCACAAUAAGAUUUAUUUAUAUACCGCAUUUCACAUUUGUUGUUUCAUAGUAGGGCUAACAGAAAUGCACAACACAAGAAACCAAAAGGGCCUACUUUGAUAUGCUAUUCUUUUUCAGCUUCUGUCAAGCACUAGAUCUGGUAACUUGAUGUAAGGAUAGUAGAAGCCAGCUAUGGAGCACUGAAGGCAUAAAUAAAGUGGCUAUAAUAAAAGAAGAAAAUUAUAUUUUAUUUACUUGGGUUUAUCCCU
RNAcentral lists this long non-coding RNA (1791 nucleotides) under Helianthus annuus (common sunflower). RNAcentral describes it as "sRNA HanXRQr2_Chr01g0012831". Lineage: Eukaryota; Viridiplantae; Streptophyta; Magnoliopsida; Asterales; Asteraceae. The record is from RNAcentral.